Molecule: long non-coding RNA, 892 nt
Filed under: Anas platyrhynchos platyrhynchos (common mallard)
Lineage: Eukaryota; Metazoa; Chordata; Aves; Anseriformes; Anatidae
Description: lncRNA (ENSAPLG00000026798.1)
Source: RNAcentral
AACAGAGUAAGCAUGUGGCUCCUUUAUGUUUGUUCUCCAAAAAAUGUUAACAAGUCUGACUGGGAUUUAAAUAUUUAUAGUAGAAAUCUAAUUUUUAUAGUUACUAUGUAGUACUAUAGGGACUGUGGCGAAACAAGCAAUAGCAAGCUAACAGUAAAGACAGCUUUAGAAGUGACAUUUACUUCAUAAGUGACAGCAUAUGCUUUGUCUACCAUCUUCAGCUGUGGAAAUGCCAAAACUUUGUCUCUGUUCUUACAAGAUGAUGACUACCCUCAACUCCCCAUGGGCUAAGUUCUGCUGUCUUUGUUUACUGAAUGACACUACCGGCUGAAAGCAGAGGCAUACAAUUUCUCCUGACAAAACCACAUCUACUACAAGCAGGAAGAAAGUUGCAUGCUACGCCUGAUAACUUCCUGAGAUCACCUUCCUGCACAUGUAGGAAAAAUCUUUCAGGUUGUGGAUCAAGUAGAUUUAAAACAAUCUUGGCUUCAUUUAGAACAUCUUUGCUUUCAAGAGACACCCUACAACAUAUUCCAAAGUCCAGUCUUUUAGUGUUUGCAAAUAUUAUUUGUUAAUUCUAUGAAGCUUUUAUUGUAAAGAAACAAACAAACAAAAUAUUUAAAUAUUGUGUAGAUUUGUUUGGAGAUCAGAAUAGUAAUGUCUAUGUGUAUGAAUGAUUAUUAUAGAAGUAUAAACUACUGAUAAAAUAGAGACAGAAUUUGUGCUAUCAGCCACAGUCAUCCAUUUUGUAAUUAUGUAAUUAUCCAUUUUUGUAAUUAUUAAAAGAUAACAUUACAGUAAGAGUAUCAGUGUAUGGGUUUCCAUAUUUCAGAUAUAUAGUUGCAAGUCUUGUUCUUUAUCAUGUAAAUGUGCAUUAGCCACAGGGAAUCUG